AUUAUAUUGUACUAAUUAAAUAAUCCUCCAGAUCCAGCAAAUCGCCAACUUACGUUAUUGAGGCGUGUUUUCGGCAAAGCCACUGGGGCUUAUUGAUUGGAUAAAAUUGUCCUAUUGCCAAGCGCUAGGCAGUUUGCUACCGUAACCUGGCACUCGAGUAGAGCGGAAGUUAGUAGGGGAACUAUUUUUGAGUCCUGUCGAGGACAGUUUCCCGUCAUUAAACGGCAUUAAGUCUAUCCGAGACAGACUACAAAAAACCCAAACAA
Molecule: long non-coding RNA, 266 nt
Organism: Uranotaenia lowii
Lineage: Eukaryota; Metazoa; Arthropoda; Insecta; Diptera; Culicidae
Exons: 3
Source: RefSeq, a predicted model, not a curated record